This 255-nucleotide ribosomal RNA is filed under the name uncultured bacterium. RNAcentral's name for it is "partial 16S ribosomal RNA". It matches the Rfam family "Bacterial small subunit ribosomal RNA", at positions 99 to 354 of the family's 1533-position model. The record is from RNAcentral.
CGGACGGGUGAGUAACGCGUGGGUAACCUGCCUCAUACAGGGGGAUAACAGUUAGAAAUGACUGCUAAUACCGCAUAAGCGCACAGGAUCGCAUGAUUGGGUGUGAAAAACUCCGGUGGUAUGAGAUGGACCCGCGUCUGAUUAGCUAGUUGGUGGGGUAAAGGCCUACCAAGGCGACGAUCAGUAGCCGACCUGAGAGGGUGAUCGGCCACAUUGGGACUGAGACACGGCCCAAACUCCUACGGAAGGCAGCAG